GUGCUUGCUUCAGUAGCACAUAUACUAAAACUGGAACAAUGCAGAGAAGAUUAGCAUGGCCCCUGUACAAAGAUGACAUGCAAAUUUGUGAAGCAUUUCAUAAUUUG
This is a small nuclear RNA of Onychomys torridus (southern grasshopper mouse), 107 nucleotides long. Lineage: Eukaryota; Metazoa; Chordata; Mammalia; Rodentia; Cricetidae. The record is from RefSeq and is a predicted model, not a curated record.